CGUUAGAGACGCGUGUAUAUAUGUGUGAAUUAUAUGUAUAUAUAUAGAUACAUCUAUGUAUAUUUUGUAUCCAAUACCUCAAGACAUCCAAUUCAAUCAAAAGUCAGUCCAGAAGACGAGCACACACACACACACCCACACUAACACAUCUGUGUCUGUUUGUGUAUAUGUGAGUGUCUAAGGUGAACGCGGAAGUGCUUCAAGCUGCUUGCAUUUCACGCUGCACUGGCGCACCGUCUCGAUUUAGAUAUAUAUCUCGUAGAUAUAUUGCCAGCUCCAUAUACAUGAAUGUAUAGCAACAAACAUCCAUAAUACCCAAUUAUAUAUGUAUAUACAUAUAUAUAAAUAUAUAUUUUGUACGAUUCGGCAAUACCAAAGUUUAACAUAAAUAGAACAAGAGGAAUAAUAAUAAUAAUAAUAAUAAGAAGAAGAAGAAGAAGCAGCAACAAUAACGGCGGCUGCAUCAGAA
This 469-nucleotide small RNA is filed under the name Drosophila mojavensis. RNAcentral's name for it is "GI26617". The record is from RNAcentral. Lineage: Eukaryota; Metazoa; Arthropoda; Insecta; Diptera; Drosophilidae.